UACGAAGGGUGCUAGCGUUGUUCGGAAUCACUGGGCGUAAAGCGUGCGUAGGCGGCUUUGCAAGCCAGGGGUGAAAUGCCGGAGCUUAACUCCGGAACUGCCUUUGGAACUGCAUAGCUAGAGUGUCGGAGGGGAUAGCGGAAUUCCUAAUGUAGCGGUGAAAUGCGUAGAUAUUAGGAGGAACACCGGUGGCGAAGGCGGCUAUCUGGACGACAACUGACGCUGAGGCACGAAAGCGUGGGGAUCAAACAGG
This 253-nucleotide ribosomal RNA is filed under the name uncultured bacterium. RNAcentral's name for it is "partial 16S ribosomal RNA". It matches the Rfam family "Bacterial small subunit ribosomal RNA", at positions 524 to 776 of the family's 1533-position model. The record is from RNAcentral.